AUUGAACGCUGGCGGCAGGCCUAACACAUGCAAGUCGAGCGAGCGGCGGACGGGUGAGUAAUGUAUGGGGACUGCCCGAUAGAGGGGGAUAACUACUGGAAACGGUGGCUACUACCGCAUACUAUCGGAUAACCCAUAUGGGAUUAGCUAGUAGGUGUGGUAAAGGCUCACCUAGGCGACGAUCUCUAGCUGGGCUGAGAGGAUGAUCAGCCACACGGGGACUGAGACACGGCCCAGACUCCUACGGAGGCAGCAGUGGGGAAUAUUGCACAAUGGGCGAAAGCCUGAUGCAGCCAGGCCGCGUGUAUGAAGAAGGCCUUCGGGUUGUAAAGUACUUUCAGUAGGGAGGCGUUACCCGAAGAAGAAGCACCGGCUAACUCCGUGCCAGCAGCCGCGGUAAUUC
This 403-nucleotide ribosomal RNA is filed under the name uncultured bacterium. RNAcentral's name for it is "partial 16S ribosomal RNA". It matches the Rfam family "Bacterial small subunit ribosomal RNA", at positions 30 to 526 of the family's 1533-position model. The record is from RNAcentral.